RNAcentral lists this long non-coding RNA (1643 nucleotides) under Homo sapiens (human). Its description in RNAcentral is "HSALNT0336259". Lineage: Eukaryota; Metazoa; Chordata; Mammalia; Primates; Hominidae. The record is from RNAcentral.
GAAAAAACAAGUGGCUUAAAGAAAAGUUCAUUUAAACUUCAUAAAAUAUCUGCCCACUAAGCAUUCAUGGGAAAUUUGACAAUUUAUAAGUGAUCUUUGCUAUUUAAGAGUCAGCACCCAAAAUUCUAAAUACAUUAAGAUCUUCCUCUGUAAUACAAACUUCGUCAAUUACACAGACAUCCAUCCCAAUUCUGAUGGGCAUGUUGUCUUGUGUUUAUUGGAAAACAAAAUGUGAACAGUAUAUGUAAUGAUUUAAAGUUGAUAUUUGUAAAAUUUGAAAAUAAAUUUUCUAAUAGGGUCCAAUUCUCUGUGAUUGUGUGAGUAAUUUGACUAAAAUCCUCUAUUAUUAGAGGGUGAAUGAGGAAGAAGGAGGUCAUAUAUUUUACGAUACUUGAGAUUAAGUCCAGAGAGAGAUGGACACAAUAAUGUGGAUUUAUUAAACUAGCUAACUCAUACAUAUAUAUGUGUAUGUCUGUCUACUACCUAUUUAUCCACCUAACAUACCUACAUACAUCUUUGUAGUACUUAUCAUUUGCUGGGCUAUGUUUUAAGUGCUUUAACUGUAUUAACUCUUUUUUUUUCUUUUCUUGAGACGGAGUUUCGCUUUUGUUGCCCAGGCUGGAGUGCAAUGGUGCAAUGGUGCGAUCUCCGCUCACCGCAACCUCCACCUCCCAGGUUCAAGUGAUUCUCCUGCCUCAGCCUCCUGAGUAGCUGGGAUUACAGGCAUGCACCACCAUGCCCGGCUAAUUUUGUAUUUUUAGUAGAGGCAGGGUUUCUCCAUGCUGGUCAGGCUGGUCUCAAACUCCUGACCUCAGGUGAUCUGCCUGCCUUGGCCUCCCAAAGUGCUGGGAUUACAGGUGUGAGCCACUGUGCCCGGCCACCUGUAUUAACUCUUUUAAUGCAGACCACACCUAAAGAUCUAUACCCACACGUAGCAAAGGGUACUGAUCGAUAUUGUUUUUAAUGAGUUCUGAGGAAGGAAGAUAGAGGAUUCCAUAAGUAUUAAUAUUGUUUUACUGAAACAUGUUUUUGAGUGGGGCCUAAACCCAUGAAUUGUUUCUAAGCAAAGCUGUAACUGACCCAAAAGGGCUAUAAAAGAAAUUACAAAGGCCCAGUGCAGCCAGCCUUAUCAAUGACAAUCAAAUAAAGAGAAGUAUGUAUCUCUACUGAAUAUCUACUAUCUGCAAGGGACUUUAAACAUAUUAACCCAUGUAAUCCUAAAAAUAAUCCUUUAAAUAAGUAUCAUUCCAAUUUUACAGAUGAAAAAACUGAGGCUUAAAGGAGUUAAAUAUGCCCCUUGUUCGUGGUUAAUUAGCUAGUAAGGAUUCAAACCCAGGCCCAUUGAGCAAAACGUCCAUGGUCUUUCUUAUGGCUGCCCAUAUACAGUAUCUUACCUUCCCAUUUCUUAGGAAGAGGAAACACCAGAUUCAUAGUGUACUGGUUUCCUGUUCUGCGGGUGCCUUAAUUAACCACAUGAAGUAGGACAGAUGAGCACAGCAAGGUAUCAGCAUAUUCUGAAAAUCUGGAUGGCCUGUGCCCGUCUAGUUAUCCAGGUUAAGUGUCUUUGUCCCAACGGCUGUGUGUGCAUUUUUGUUCAAAACCAUCCUUUUAAUCGGCUUUGAGAUGCAGCCAAAACAAAAUGU